Molecule: ribosomal RNA, 563 nt
Filed under: Laetiporus conifericola
Lineage: Eukaryota; Fungi; Basidiomycota; Agaricomycetes; Polyporales; Laetiporaceae
Description: eukaryotic LSU rRNA
Rfam family: 5.8S ribosomal RNA (bases 158-311)
Source: RNAcentral
CUCGGGGUUCGCCCUUGUCACAAACACACCCCUGUGCGCGUUGAAGGCCCGGCUCGUUGAGUGGGUGGGCGACCGCCCAGGAUUCGCAGCCUCGCUUUCUUACACAAACUUCGGAAUGUACAUCAGAAUGUCUUACGCGUGUAACGCAUCGUAAUAUAACUUUCAGCAACGGAUCUCUUGGCUCUCGCAUCGAUGAAGAACGCAGCGAAAUGCGAUAAGUAAUGUGAAUUGCAGAAUUCAGUGAAUCAUCGAAUCUUUGAACGCACCUUGCGCUCCUUGGCAUUCCGAGGAGCAUGCCUGUUUGAGUGUCUUGAAACUCUCAACCCCUGCCAUCUUUGCGGAUGAGCGUCGGUUGGAUUUUGGAGGUUGCCGGACUCGUUCGGCUCCUCUUGAAAGCAUAGUAAAGCUUGGACCUGACCGACCGAGUGGACGUGAUAGAAAGUCACCGUCGACUGAAGGGUCCGUCGUUGAACGGUUCAAGCUUUGUUUCAUCGUCUUCGGACGAACAUCUCUGACCUCUGACCUCAAAUCAGGUAGGACUACCCGCUGAACUUAAGCAUAUC